Molecule: long non-coding RNA, 344 nt
Filed under: Gallus gallus (chicken)
Lineage: Eukaryota; Metazoa; Chordata; Aves; Galliformes; Phasianidae
Description: lncRNA (ENSGALG00010006253.1)
Source: RNAcentral
UUUUCAUACAGUUUAUUGUUUGCCACACAAAAGAACUGAAGUUUUGUUGCUGUUAGUUAUGGAAAUCCAGCUACCUUUGAGUACUGGAGUGAGAUGAAGUGGAGCUCUAAAUCAAUGAGAAGAGCAAAUAAAAAAAUGUUGUAAAAGCAACAAGCCUGAUUUCAGCAGCUCAGAAGCUGUUCAGUGGUGGCUCUCUGGUGAUCAUAAUCUAUGCUUCUUUGCUCAGUGUGAAGUGGCACAGUGACACCCUGGCUUUCAGGCAGCUCUGUAACUCCUGAAUGGGCAACGCGCUGUUUAACCUGAGGUACCUUGGAAGUUGAUCCUGCUUUAUGCACAAGUAGAAC